RNAcentral lists this long non-coding RNA (6027 nucleotides) under Sus scrofa (pig). RNAcentral's name for it is "lncRNA (ENSSSCG00000058272.1)". Lineage: Eukaryota; Metazoa; Chordata; Mammalia; Artiodactyla; Suidae. The record is from RNAcentral.
CUUUUAAGUUUAAUUAUGUCCCAUUUAUUUAUUUUUGUUUUCAUUUCCAUUACUCUAGAAGAUAGAUCCAAAAAAAUUAUUGCUGAGAUUUUUGUUAAGCGUGUUCUGCCUAUGUUUUCUUCUAGGAGUUUAAUAGUAUCUGGUCUUACAUUUAGGUCUUUAAUCCAUUUUGAGUUUAUUUUUGAAUAUGGUGUUAGAGAAUGUUUUAAUUACAUUCUUUUGCAGGUAGUGUCCAGUUUUCCCAGCACCACUUAUUGAAGAGACUGUCUUCUCCUUUGUAUAUUGUUACUUCUUUGUCAUAAAUUAAUUAUCCGUAAGUGCAUAGGUUUACUUAUGGGCAUGCAGUAAGAUUGUAAAAAUCACAAAUGCAGAGUUCUCAUCGUGGCUCAGCGGAAACUAAUCCAACUAGUAUCCAUGAGGAUGUGGGGUUCAGUCCCUGGGCUUGUUCAGUGGGUUAAGGAUCUAGCAUUGCUGUGAGCCGUGGUGUAGGUCGCAGAUGGGGCUCAGAUCUGGCAUUGCUGUGGCUGUGGUGUAGGCUGGCAGCUGCAGCUCUGAUUCAACCCCUAGCCUGGGAACUUCUGAAUGCUGUGGGUGCAGCCCUUUAAAAAAAAAAAAAAAAAAAAGAAUCACAAAUGCAGUUAGUUCACUAAAUUUUGACUCUUCUCAAUCAUUAUCUGAUGUAAUCACAGAUUACACUAAAGUUUGAAGACGGCUUUAAUCCCAACUUCCUUUGUAAAUUAGUGAUCUUGAAAAAAUUGUGAUGCUAUAGAACUGACAGCCUCUUCUUGUUGAAACAAAAUAAUCUGACCAGCUGGCAAAUAGAGCACCUUCAAUGUGAUCCAAGUAGACAAAUAGAAACAGACACCCCAGGAUUUACAUUUAUUCAUAACUAUUCAUGAAAUGCUUUUUUCUGAGGAAAUGUGUCAAGGCUCUAGUUGUGGCUUGGUCCCCAAGUCCCAGACUGCCCUGCUCUUACCUUUCCUGCUGGCUACUUCUGAAGGGAUGCCCCUGGCCCCAAACCGCACCCCUCUCCACUUAGCCUGUGCCAUAGUUAAUUAUCAUCUGUCAUUUACUUGGCCCUUGCGUGGCCCAGGCACCUGUUUUUGUUUUAAUCACUUUUCACGUCUUGGUAUAUUCAGUCGCCUACCAGCGCUCUGGGCAUAUGUGUGGCCCAGGCCCGCCCUUUCAGAGCCGCUCAGUCAGAGAGCUAGAACACUCCCUCGUGGUGAGCGCUUGUCUAGUGACAGAUGACUCAGGUGAAUUGUUCACCUUGUGAAAAAAUAAACUCUGGCUCAUUUUGACACUUGUAGGAAGUGGAAAGCUGCCAUUAAGCUUUAUUUUCCCGCCUUGGGUUUAAUGAUUUUCUCGGGGUCAUUGCCUUCACUGAAAAAGGGUUCUCCCUCCACCAGAAGAGGAGACUGUCCUGACUGCUCAGGUAAUGCGGGUGACAGAAGAGGUGGGAGAAAUGAAAAGACUUAUAAAAUCUUCCUAGGUGUUUCCAGUAGAGAUCCUGCUCUCAUUUCUAAUGACCAGAAACUCUGAAACGAUGGUCUCCAUAGAAGAUCCUACCCCAUAGUCUCCACCUCUGACUGUGGGGCUCUAUCUGCGGGAUCAGCCUGGGUUCAUUCAUUCCCAAGAGUCCCAAGCUGAAAAAGUCAGCCCACUGGGAGGAGGCAGUUAGGGGCAGAGAGCGAGACACAGAGGGCUGCAAACAGUCCCCAAACCCCACACUCGCUGAGCAGGUACUGGGUGAUAAACUCCGCAGCCCUUACUCACGGUACCUAGUUUUAUCUUUACAAUCACCCUAUACAUCAGGUACUAUUUUAGUCAGCAAGUGUCACAAAAAUGACACAGAGCAGAUCACCUCAAAAUAUGGGAGCAAUACCGUAUUAGUCAGCUAGUGUCACAAAAACGACACAGAACAGAUCAUCGCAAAAUAGUUACAGAAACAAGCCGUGACUUCUUGUACAUACCUAUACAUAUCUAGCGUCUGACUGUUGCAGCCGGGCUCAGCUGGGCACGGGUGCCCCCACAGGUUACGUUCCUGCAUCCUCCAGGGUCGCUUACUCAUCCAGGACACUGCGGGCGGUGCUUCUAACAGUGAUCAGAGGUGCAAGAGGGCACACCCAAGCUCACGAGCAGGCCUUUGCCUCCUGCGUGUAUGCUAACCACCCAGCCGAACAAUUCUAAUGGCCAAGCCCAAAGUCAGGAGUCAGGGACAGACACUGUGCCCACCAGGAGGCCACGUCAAGUGUGUGAAUGUGUAAUACUACUGCAGGAGUGUGAAGACUGGGCCAGUAACUAAACCCGGCACAGGUGCUCUUACUGCUCUCAUCCUGGAGAUGAGGACGUCAGGAGGGCUUGGAAGACUUGCCCAGUGUCCCUCUAAUCUUGACUGGAGAUGCUGACAUUUAAACCCAAGCAGUCAGGCCCAGAACCCAAACUGUUAUGCAGGACAGCUCACCGGGCACCAGGCAAAAUCUCCUAUGAGCCAGGAUGGACAGGUUAACAGUCAGAUACAGAGUGGGAAAGGGCCAGGGGAAGGAGCAGGCUAGGAUCAGCCCAAGAGGAAGCCUGCUCCUGCUGAUCUUGUACCUCUCAGACCACUGAACCCCAGACUUGCAAAGGGCAUCUCCUCUAGGCCAAGGGUGGAAUCAGAAAUUGUCAAGGUCAUACCCGCAAGGAGGGAAGUUACUCCCCAGAUCUUUUCAGAAUUCAGGAGUUAUCCAAAAGUUGCUGCUCUUUAUAUUUUUCUGUCAUUUCAAAUUGUAUGUAAUGAGUAAAACAAAAGCACAACUUUACAAAUAAAUAAAUAAAAGUGUUAAAAUAUAGCUGUAGUAUCUUCCCACUGUUUGAGAAUUAGUUCAUAGGAAGUUUUUCUCUUAUACUUCAAAUGUGUUUAAAUUACUUUUAAUUAGGGAAUUCCAAAAAUAUUUCCUGUUCCAAAUACUGAAUUUUUGUUUUAAGAAUUUUUCAUCAGGACCCCGCUCUCAUGUCUAAGAUAGGAAUAAAUUUCAGUUACUUCAAAGAUUAUUUUCUGCUGUUGUAACUAAUUUUAUAUGUGAUGGAUAAAAAGGCCGUAAUAAUUUAAUUCAUUUUUAAUGUUUAAUAGCUGUGUAUUAAAUAAGUGCUUUUAACAAAAAUAAGUAUAAAGACUGAUGAGAAGAGUCUGUCAAAACAUUUUUUAAUUUAAAAAUUUUAACAUUUUGAUUUUCUGCUAUACUAAAAUGCUUUCAAUUUGGGUGAUAUUUCUUAAAAUUUCGGUGAAAGGUAAUCAGUGUUCUUCUCUCAGUUGGUUUCUUAUUUCUGACCAAAUUAAAUCAUAAGAGGUUGACAGAUUAUGAAACAGUGAUUCAAAGAAAGUACCAUCUAAGGAGAAAUGACCAUCUUGUUUUAACCCCAAAAUAGAUCAAGGCGUAAUUACUUCAUAUGUAGUGAUGCAACAUGACUGCUUUCAUGGAAACAAAAGGGACUGGUGCCAUUGCAUAGCUGGUCUGUGCCACCCUGCUUCAUGGUGAAACUUCUGCCCUGCUGUCUCUUCAGCUACAGAUAAUUGCAUGUAUGCACUUUGUCUUUGCUUUUGGAAUCUUUAAAUACAACUGUAGUAAAACUUCCAACCAUACUAUUAAAAUUAAUUUAUUAUUUAAAAAAUGGGAUUUCUUAUUUCAGUAUUAGAUGUAAAAUUUUAAAACUAGCCUAUGCUAUAUAAUAUUUUACAUCUUAAAUGCAAUUCUUAGAACAUAGCAGUCACAACACAUUCAAUCAUUUAACUCAGGAAUACAGAAAAGCAGAAUUUAAAUACAUCCAAAGGAGUAGAUCAAGUACAAAGAAAUUUAAAAGUUAGAAAUAAGCAGAAGGUUUUAAAUAGAAAAAUAAAAAUAAAAUAUCCAGUUUGCAACAGCAAACAAAAGUCAUUGAAAUAUAGGAAUAAAUCUAGGAAAAAUGCUCAAGAUCCUUAGAGUUGUAAUUAAAUUGGCAAGUUGUUUAUACCCCCAAAUAGAAAAGUUAUUCCCAAGAUCUUUUUGAAAUUCCACUAGUAAUCCAAAAGUUAAUUUUCUUUAUCUUUUCUGUCAUUUCAAAUAAUGACAAUAAUUUGAAAUAAAAGAAAACUUGAAUACAUUAUUUACUGAUGGGAAGACUCAGUUGUGAAGCUGUCAUUUCUCCCCCAAAUUACUGUAUAAUUAACAGAUGGCUUUGAAAAGUUUCAUUGUGGAAAAGAAAAUAUGCAAAGUAAGCAUAUCCCUCGGCGGCAGGGACAAAGCAGAGGUGGAAGAGGCCCUGGGGACAUUUUAGGUGAUUUUCAGACAUCCUUAGAAACAUCUGCACUGUGGGGAGCUGCCAGGCCCACCUGGUGACAUGACUGGGCAAGCUGAAUUGGCGCUUCUCCAGCUGCAGGUUACCUAGCAGCGCCCAGCAUCCUCACGGACUGUGGGGCCACGUGUAGAUAUAUAUGCGUCAGUUUGCUCUCAGUAGAUUCGAAUUUUACCAUUUUCACAGAAAUAAAAUCUUGCUAAACUGUGCUGGUUAUAGUAAGUCCAAAUGACACUUUACCAAAAAUCCUAUCCUCUAAAACUUGCAUUUUUUAGUGUUGAUUGGAUGUCAAAACCCAUUUUGUAAAGCAUACAGCUAGUACAGGAGACAUGGCAUUUCCUUUUCUUUUCUUCUUCUUUCAUAGAUCCUUUUUUAUGGUUUGUAUGGUAUUUUCUCUUCUGCCACUUCGCAGUGGCGUUUCUUCGGUGUGCCGACACCUGCCGGAGCCCUGUCCUCUUCCAGCCUGGCCUUUGGAGCUCGUGGUCCCAAGCGGUUGGCUUGGCCUCUUUUCUCGGGAGAUGAGUGCUGGAUUGUCUCCCUGGGUUGAGACCGUUUGGCCUGGUGAUGGGCAGCGCGGGGUUGUGACGGGCGCGCCAGCUUUGGAGACAUUUGCAGUCUCUCCGCAGGCAUUUCUGGGCUCUGCCCCAGCGCGUGUUCCCUCACCUGAAAGAUGACGUCAUCAGGGUCCCUUGUCGACUCUUACUGAUGAUGUCACGUUAACCUGUCAGGUCCGUGGUGCUCCCCAGAUAAUUAGUUAUUUUCCUUAAAUAUUGAUUUAAAAAUAAAAAUGGGAUGAUUUUUAGAAUAGUGUGGAGGGUUUAAGAACUUCCAAAUUCCUGUGAGUCCUUUUUUUUUGAGCCGUAGAUUCCCUUGCUCCAGGCCUGCUUUUUACAGGACCUUCCGAAUGUCAGGAUGAGGGAAGGGUGAGUGGAGGGUGGUCGGCCGAGCCUCGGUGUGUGGACCGGGCCAGGGAGGGGCAGGGGCAGCCCUGAGGACCCCCCGACCCCUUCUCGAGUCUCCGUGGAGCUGCUGACAGCACACCCAGAGAGCACUGGCAGGAAGGAGUCAGGUUUUUCAAAGAAAGAAAAAGACCCGUGAGACUGUUUCGUUUUGGACAGAGCUUGUUAGGCUGUUCAAGCGGGCAGAGAGGGAGGGAGGGAGGCCGGCGUUCCCAGUGCGGGAGCCCCGCAGCCCCCUGUGCACAGGGGACUCCCCUGCGACCGGGCCCGGCCAGCCCCCCUUCCCACCUGCGGAUGUGGCCAGCUACGGAGGCCACCGUCAGCACAGGCCCGCCUCCUGCCGGCGCGCAGGGUGGAGAUGGAGUGGGAGGUGAGGACGGGGUACGGGGUAGUUGAAGUGUCUUCAAGGCGUGGUGUCCCUUGAAUGUACUCUUAAGGCAUGGCCUGGAUGGCCCCUGCUAGGUUGCCUUGACCUUGGUCCAGUCUCUGUGUCAUCGUCACCAUGCACACUCCCUGCCCACCUCUCUCUCCAGAGGGAAACUAAAACAGAGAAACUCUUUCUCCAGAGAGAAAUCUCUGCUGGGCCAUGAGUGUGGGCGCCGGGGGUCAAAUGAUGCAGUAGGAGCUAACGUUUUCUUCUCUUUUUCUUAUGCGCCAGGCACUGCGCUCACCUUUUUUACAUUCUUCAUAUAAUUGAUACACAUAGCAGCCCACCACUGGUAUGUUAGUCUCACUUUGAAGAUGGGGAACCACUGCU